This 497-nucleotide ribosomal RNA is filed under the name uncultured bacterium. RNAcentral describes it as "partial 16S ribosomal RNA". It matches the Rfam family "Bacterial small subunit ribosomal RNA", at positions 28 to 507 of the family's 1533-position model. The record is from RNAcentral.
GACGAACGCUGGCGGCGUGCCUAAUACAUGCAAGUAGAACGCUGAAGAGAGGUGCUUGCUCUUCUUGGAUGAGUUGCGAACGGGUGAGUAACGCGUAGGUAACCUGCCUUGUAGCGGGGGAUAACUAUUGGAAACGAUAGCUAAUACCGCAUAACAAUGGAUGACACAUGUCAUUUAUUUGAAAGGGGCAAUUGCUCCACUACAAGAUGGACCUGCGUUGUAUUAGCUAGUAGGUGAGGUAAUGGCUCACCUAGGCGACGAUACAUAGCCGACCUGAGAGGGUGAUCGGCCACACUGGGACUGAGACACGGCCCAGACUCCUACGGGAGGCAGCAGUAGGGAAUCUUCGGCAAUGGGGGCAACCCUGACCGAGCAACGCCGCGUGAGUGAAGAAGGUUUUCGGAUCGUAAAGCUCUGUUGUAAGUCAAGAACGGGUGUGAGAGUGGAAAGUUCACACUGUGACGGUAGCUUACCAGAAAGGGACGGCUAACUACGUG